CUCUUUUCUAUCAUGAAGUCCUUUGAAUUUAUUUUUGCAAGGUUUCGAAAUUGGAUCUGAGAAGCACACAACAAAUGCAGUAAUAGACAAGUCCGGUGCACUGCAAUUGACUUUUGGUAAUGAAGGAUUAUCAGUUUUGAAUCGGUCGGUAAGUUUUAGGAUGUAGAGUUUAUAUGUUAAUACAAGUUAUAGUGGGAUGUUUUCUGAUGUUUUUACGGUAAUUUCAAGGUAAAAAUUAUCAAACUGAGUUGUGAAUAUUAUGUUUGAGGUAUGGUCGAAUUUUUUUUUAUCAAUUAUGAGUAUUUUCUAAACAAAUUGAAGUUUCAUUUAAAUUAACAAUUGGCUCUGAAUUGAAAUAUUUCCUUAUUUGUAAAUAAUCCUGUCUUGAGACUUCUAACACUUGCUUUGAGGAAUACUGGAAUGGAGGAUUGGAGAAAUUUUUACUGUUGUUUGUGGCUUCUGCAUAGUUUUUUCUUUAUAUUUCUUUCUUCAUUUUCCCCAUUUCACAGGAAUGCAGCUAUUGUGAUGCUUUCAGGUCAAGUGGCGGAUGCAUUUGCCAUUGUAUUUGUUGGUGAACUAGUAUUUAAACUUUUUUCGCUUCACACCUGGGAAAUGUAUGCUUCCGUCACUAAGAAUAUUUGUGUGUUCCUAACAUAAUAAUCUUUUAUAGCGUAGGUAACAAAUAUUUGUUGUGAGUUUCAACAUUUAGUUUGGGUGUUACACGAAAUGAACAUCAUUUGAUUGAACUAAUACUAAUCUAGCUUUUAAUUUCAUCUGAUUUUAAGAAACUUUAAUAGUUUGUCACUCACCUUUCAAAUCUUAUUUUGAUAGAAAUGCUUACUUCAGUUAUCUUGCUUUAUAGAUAGACCUAUUUGGAUGUUUCAAGAUAUGGCAUGGUGCAUGAUCUUUAUUGGUGGCUAUUUCAUUAUCUUCUGUUUUUUGGUUGUUGUCUACCAUGUGCAAUUUUUAGUUCUAAUUCAACUACUUUUAAAACUGUGAGUUACAUCAUGUUUGCAGCGAUUUUCAACUUGGGGUGGGCUGCUGCUCAGGUCUCACACAUGUAAUAAAUUUUGUCAAAUUUAUCUUUUUCUUUUGUAAAUGUUAGGAAUUUCUGAUUUGAAAAUGUUUUUUUUUUUCAUUUUUAAUUUCAAAAUUGAUCGCUAAGUGUUAUUUUAUGAAAAGCAUAGUUUCCCAGCCCUUCAAUUUAAAGUCAUGUUCAUUAGUGUCUUCGUUGAAUUGUUUCAUGAAGGUCUAUGGUGAGUUGCAUCACGCUGAACUCAACAAGCAGAGUUUCAUUGGCUAGCUGUCGCAAUGCUUUUACCAAAGUAAGCUUCUAGAUAAAAGAAAAAAGGUUGCAUGUUCGUAUUUCUUACUAAUGCAUAUACUUAUAGCUUUAUAGGUUGCCAACCUGAGUUUAUAUGCAGUUGCUUUGAUAGUAUUCACUGUCAUAAAUGGAAAAUUGUAUGCUAAUGUUGAGAAUCAAGUAUGUUUGCGAUGAAUAUUUUUUUGUAUUUUUGAAUGAUUGAAUGUUGUCGAGCACAUAUUUACUUUAUUCUUCUUUCAAAUGAGUAGUACCGUUAGAUUGCAUAUGUUUCGAUUUUUAUAGGAUGUUGCUUUGUGGGCAUAUUUCAUCUUGCGACAAAAGAGCCGAAAUGUGUUUCGAGGUCCAUUAUAUCCCUAUAAAAAUUGUUAUAUAUAAUAGGUUGCUUCAGGUGUGGGCUUAAUAUGUUUCACAAAUUGAAUUGAAUUGUGUAUGAAGAUACCUUUAGGAACAAAAUAUAUUUAUUUUAUGUAAAUAAUGUUUAACUGAUACUAUAUAUCAUGCUCUAAAGACUUCUUGUGAAUUGGCUGAAAGAUUAUCUAUGACAAUGGUUCAGAACAAAAUCUCUCAGAAAUACCAGCUGAACUGAAAGGUUCUGAUUAAAGCUUCCAGUAUUUAUCAUAAAGAUACUGAAGUUCCACCGUGAGAAGCAUUUGAUUCAAGACUCAUAACUCAUGUUUUGUUUAGUUGGUAAAGUGAUGUGUUAAUAGCUUGAUGUUUGGAUACUCGAGGAUAGCUUGGAGAAUGAAGGAUGCAGGGCACGAUUCAGUUUGGACUAUGUGAGCUGAUUCUUUAUUAGAGCAGGUCUUGAAUGACAUACAUAUGGUGCGAUGACGGUCUUGAAUAGCAUUGAACUUGACGAAUACAAUAUUUUGAGAUGGUAAUAAAUAAUUGCUUGUGAUUGAAUUGCAUGCUUGAAAGAGAUUGUUAAGUAGAGAUAAGGUACUUGAUUGGAAGGUUUUUAUUAUUUAAUUAUAUGUGAAGUCCUUUGCUUACUUGGUAAAAGCGAUAAGUAUAUUCCUUUUAUCCAUGUGACUUAAAUUGGGAUUUUGUUUGUUUGUUUGUGAUACUUUGAUCUAAAGACCCAGUUUUCCUCUGAAAAGUAGGAGAAAAUCAUGUUCUUUCCUUGAUUUUUGAACUUGUAAAAAGUAUGGACAACCAGUUGUCAAAUAUCCGCAAUUGCGGUACUAUGGAGGAGUUUAUUGCUUUUGAUGGAUGAUUUUUCUGCUGAAUUUUUAAUAAUAAUUACCUCUUGAAAUUGCUUAUUGAUAAUUAUUUAUUGUGUAUUGGAAGGAGCUUAAUGUUCACGAAGCUUGCUCUUAUUUCAUUUAAUCAUUUUUCAAUUAUUGAGCUUAGCUAUGAAGCAUUAUGUUGUUAAUCCCACAUAACCCCUUGAAAUUCUAUAGUGGUAUAGCGUAACAAUGAUAUAGUUCAGCACAAUGUUUUUAAUUCUACCACCGCUACGUUAUUUCGCUAUAGCGCUCUAUUGACAACUUAAAGCACCACCAGAGACACACACACUUGACAUGGUGUUGUUACGUGAGAUGAGUGAUGGUUUUUGUACUGUCUGAUUGUGAUUUUGUUGAUAGAACUAUGUUUUGGCGGAUUAUUGAGCUUUUGUUUCACUCUAAUGUUUGUUGUUUUCAGCAUAGCGAAGAAGUUAGAGCCUAGGAAUAAUACACUGGCAUCAUCUGUUUGGUGGGGUUUAGGAUUUUAUUGAUGAAAAUUGACUUAAUAAAAUUCUGCUAUGGUUUGAUGUAUAACAUAUAUGUAUGUGAUUCAAUUUUGGUUUCGAAAGUUAAUUCUUUUGUAAUUUGGAUUUUACGUGGAUAAAAGGAAUAUACUUAUCGCUUUUGUAAUUUGCUUUUAUUGCUUUUCAUCAAAAUGACUAUAUAACUUUGUACCUACUGGAUCAUCUUCAUCUAAAAACUACCACUAUAUAACUCUUCAAAACUAGUUUUCAAUCAAGAAUAAUAACAUCACAAAUUAUAGGUUGUCUUUCAUCUUCAUGAAGUCCAAAAAAACUUCAAUUAAAUACAAAUUAUUGCUACUCUCAAUAUGAAUAUAAUGAUGUUGGUGCACAAGAAUGAAAGAUGAUAACAAAGAGAAUAAACAAAAGGAAUAACAGCGCAAAAGAAUGAGAGAAUAAUUGUUGUGUUCUAUUAGUGAUAGCUGCUACAAGACUAUUUAUGCAAAAGAAAAUUUGCCACAUAAGCCCUAAUAGAGUCAACUUAGUGAACAAGUCUAAGGUACAAACAGUACAAUACUAAGAAAUACUAAAGUACCCUUACUAACUAAAUAGCUAAGCUAACAGGACCCAGAAGGUAGAACUUCUGAUCAACACUAUCUUCUGAGUAACCAUCAGAAGAUCAGCCCACAUCAGAACUUUUGGUGCUCAUCUUCUGAAUAUGAAUUACUCUUCAAUACCAUCCCUUAAUUCAUAUUCUUCAAUCAAAGCUGACAAUGCCAAUUCCAUUCCUUAAGAACAGAAAUUGAUCCGUCUUGAUUGCCUUCGUCAGAACAUCUACCAUCUGCUUCUGGGUGCUACAAUGCACAACCUCUAAUGUUCCAUUAUGGACUUGGCUUCUCAAGAAAUGAUAUUUAGUCUCAAUAUGCUUCCUUCUUCUGUGUAACACAGGAUUCCUGGCAAGAUUGAUUGCAGGAAAUGAGAAAAGUUGGUGUUGCUUUACUAAAGGUGCCCUUUUAUAGGCAAUUUAUUCCAACAAUCACAUUCUAUCCCAAGAGUCAUGUCCCAAUAGUCAUGAAGAGAGAGAAGAG
This is a long non-coding RNA of Vicia villosa (hairy vetch), 4099 nucleotides long. RefSeq lists it as uncharacterized. The transcript is spliced from 5 exons. The record is from RefSeq and is a predicted model, not a curated record. Lineage: Eukaryota; Viridiplantae; Streptophyta; Magnoliopsida; Fabales; Fabaceae.